UUCCUCUGCUAAUGGUGGAAAGAGGUUUGCCACAAAAGGGCACUUUGAAUCGUUUAAAAGAGCUUGAUGUUCUGCGACAACAUAGUCUUUGUUCUUAUCAAGGAAUUGAUCAGCUUGCAUAAUGGUUGAUGGUGAAUGCAGUGCGUGCAAGUUUUGGCUUGCUAAAACGUUUGUGGCUUUUGUAUGUUUGGUACAUCUUCUGAGCAAAGAUAAUUUUCCAACCAAAAGAAAAGAAGGAAACAGAUGUACCAUGCUUCAUCAAGUAGCGCAACUAUUCCGCCGGGUUUCUGCAUUGAAACAGGGUUUGAAUUACUCAUUGUGGGUAUAGUGUGAAUGCCAAGGGCGAUGUGUCUUUUACCUCCAAGACCUGCUGCUCGACGCUCCGCUCUCUCCGCUAACCAAGAUCGAUUGGCUUCCAUGGUCAUUUAUGAUUGCCCUGAUAUUGCCUCAAUGGCAGUUUCAUAUUAGUACACUUCAAUUAGAAUGUGAUGAUAGCACUCUAAACUCUUUACACACUACCUGUAGCAAGCAUCUGCAACUGCAAAAAGAUGAGGACUUAGCUCACCGAAAGCAGCGCCCUUGUACUGUUCCAUCAUGUGGACAUCAUACAGAUGUGGAAGUCUCCGAAAGGGGUUCACGGCUAUCAAUAUAUUUCCAGUGUUGAUCAGGAAGAUAGAACGUACAUAAAUCUCAUUCAGUGCAUAGCGAGCUGCGAGGUUAUUCAGAACUCCUGGUUCAUGGAGGUAAGCCAAUUUGGUCAUGUCAUCCACUCCAGCCUGAGGAGCCUCUGUAUCCUUCGGGUAUAUACUCGACAGACUAGCCACGACCUGUGUAAUUGAUCGAGACUCGUGA
This is a non-coding RNA of Musa acuminata subsp. malaccensis (wild Malaysian banana), 852 nucleotides long. NCBI's taxonomy places the organism in Eukaryota, Viridiplantae, Streptophyta, Magnoliopsida, Zingiberales, Musaceae. The record is from RefSeq and is a predicted model, not a curated record.